AAACCAACAGGGAUUGCCCUAGUAACGGCGAGUGAAGCGGCAACAGCUCAAAUUUGAAAUCUGGCGCAAGCCCGAAUUGUAAUUUGUAGAGGAUGCUUCUAGCUAGCGACCGGUCUAAGUUCCUUGGAACAGGACGUCAUAGAGGGUGAGAAUCCCGUAUGUGACUGGUUUGCAGCUUCUACGUAGCUCCUUCGACGAGUCGAGUUGUUUGGGAAUGCAGCUCUAAAUGGGAGGUAAAUUUCUUCUAAAGCUAAAUACCGGCCAGAGACCGAUAGCGCACAAGUAGAGUGAUCGAAAGAUGAAAAGCACUUUGGAAAGAGAGUUAAAAAGCACGUGAAAUUGUUGAAAGGGAAGCGCCUACAACCAGACUUCGCGGCAGUGUUCCGCCGGUCUUCUGACCGGUCUACUCGCUGCCGUGAGGCCAUCAUCGUCUGGGACCGCUGGAUAAGACGGCAGGAAUGUGGCAUCCUUCGGGGUGUGUUAUAGCCUGCCGUGAUGCAGCGCGUCUCGGGCGAGGUCCGCGCUUCGGCAAGGAUGAUGGCGUAAUGGUUGUCGGCGGCCCGU
RNAcentral lists this ribosomal RNA (564 nucleotides) under Cladocillium musae. RNAcentral describes it as "partial large subunit ribosomal RNA". It matches the Rfam family "Eukaryotic large subunit ribosomal RNA", at positions 62 to 652 of the family's 3401-position model. Lineage: Eukaryota; Fungi; Ascomycota; Dothideomycetes; Mycosphaerellales; Mycosphaerellaceae. The record is from RNAcentral.